Molecule: ribosomal RNA, 254 nt
Filed under: uncultured bacterium
Lineage: Bacteria
Description: partial 16S ribosomal RNA
Rfam family: Bacterial small subunit ribosomal RNA
Source: RNAcentral
UACGGGGGGAGCAAGCGUUGUUCGGAUUUACUGGGCGUAAAGGGCGCGUAGGCGGUCAGCACAAGUCAGUUGUGAAAUCUCCGGGCUUAACUCGGAAAGGUCAACUGAUACUGUGCGACUAGAGUGCAGAAGGGGCAACUGGAAUUCUCGGUGUAGCGGUGAAAUGCGUAGAUAUCGAGAGGAACACCUGCGGCGAAGGCGGGUUGCUGGGCUGACACUGACGCUGAUGCGCGAGAGCCAGGGGAGCGAACGGG